GACAGAGGGUGCAAACGUUGCUCGGAAUUACUGGGCGUAAAGCGCGUGUAGGCGGGCCGAUAAGUCAGGUGUGAAAUCCCUAGGCUCAACCUAGGAACUGCAUUUGAAACUGUCGGUCUUGAGUGAUGGAGAGGAUGGCGGAAUUCCUGGUGUAGAGGUGAAAUUCGUAGAUAUCAGGAGGAACACCGGUGGCGAAGGCGGCCAUCUGGAAAUCUACUGACGCUGAGACGCGAAAGCGUGGGGAGCAAACAGG
Molecule: ribosomal RNA, 253 nt
Filed under: uncultured bacterium
Lineage: Bacteria
Description: partial 16S ribosomal RNA
Rfam family: Bacterial small subunit ribosomal RNA
Source: RNAcentral